AAAUUGAAGAUUCGAAGAGGUGGACUAUGAUUCGAAGGUUUUCAAGCGUGGAUUCAUGAUGAGGGAGAGGAGGGGGAGCUAUGGUGUCAUUUUUGGAGUGAUUGGAGGGUAACGUCGCCGUGCACGGCGGUGACAGCGCUAGGGUUUGGCAUUUAUGAGGCGCUUAAAUGAUACUUGAAGAAAAUUGGUGGUGGAUUUAGAACGGGGAGAUGAAGGAGAGGAGAUGGUGUAAGUUUGGGCGUAAUUGGUCGCCGGUCGCCGGCCGCCGCCAUGGGGCGAUUCCCGGCGGCGGCGCUACAUUCUCUGUAUUUGGAGAGUUUGGAGGCGAUGAA
Molecule: long non-coding RNA, 332 nt
Filed under: Nicotiana benthamiana
Lineage: Eukaryota; Viridiplantae; Streptophyta; Magnoliopsida; Solanales; Solanaceae
Description: long non-coding RNA (NBEN_LNC001910)
Source: RNAcentral